This 301-nucleotide ribosomal RNA is filed under the name uncultured bacterium. Its description in RNAcentral is "partial 16S ribosomal RNA". It matches the Rfam family "Bacterial small subunit ribosomal RNA", at positions 509 to 809 of the family's 1533-position model. The record is from RNAcentral.
CAGCAGCCACGGGAAUACGUAGGGCGCAAGCGUUAUCCGGAAUUAUUGGGCGUAAAGAGCUCGUAGGCGGUUUGUCGCGUCUGCCGUGAAAGUCCGGGGCUCAACCCCGGAUCUGCGGUGGGUACGGGCAGACUAGAGUGAUGUAGGGGAGACUGGAAUUCCUGGUGUAGCGGUGAAAUGCGCAGAUAUCAGGAGGAACACCGAUGGCGAAGGCAGGUCUCUGGGCAUUAACUGACGCUGAGGAGCGAAAGCAUGGGGAGCGAACAGGAUUAGAUACCCCAGUAGUCCCUGUCUCUUAUAA